UGUAGUCUACAUGGUGGUCGAGUUUUCUUCGGGUAGCUGCGGAAAAUCUGGAGCUAAUACGUGCUUACGGGAGCAAUCCCAGUGCUCGUUAGAUACUGAACUAACCGCUUCGGCGCUUGGAUGAUUCAUAACGAUCGAUCGGAUCGCAUGCUUUUGCAGCGAUACACCAUUCGAGCAUCUGACCUAUUAGCUGAGGACGGUAAGGUAUUGGCUUACCGUGGCCACGAUGGGUAACGGAGAAUUAGGGUUCGAUUCCGGAGAGGGAGCCUGAGAAACGGCUACCACA
This 286-nucleotide ribosomal RNA is filed under the name uncultured eukaryote. Its description in RNAcentral is "partial 18S rRNA". It matches the Rfam family "Eukaryotic small subunit ribosomal RNA", at positions 111 to 414 of the family's 1831-position model. The record is from RNAcentral.